UAUGUGAUCGUCUCUCGCAUAUCAAUAAGCGGAGGAAAAGAAACUAACAAGGAUUCCCCUAGUAACGGCGAGUGAAGCGGGAAGAGCUCAAAUUUGAAAUCUUAAAGGGUUUCCCUUUACGAAUUGUAGUUUAAAGAAGUGUUUUCUGUUGAGGUUUUGGUAAAAGUUCUUUGGAAUAGGACAUCAUAGAGGGUGAGAAUCCCGUAUUUGACCUUUACUUUCAACUUUGUGAUACACUUUCAAAGAGUCGGAUUGUUUGGGAAUGCAGUCCAAAAUGGGUGGUAAAUUUCAUCUAAAGCUAAAUAUUGGCGAGAGACCGAUAGCGAACAAGUACCGUGAGGGAAAGAUGAAAAGAACUUUGAAAAGAGAGUUAAACAGUACGUGAAAUUGUCAAAAGGGAAGCGUUUGACACCAGUGUUGUUUUUCUGAAAAUCAAUUAAAGAACUGUUUAUGCUAAGUUGUUUAGACUUUAUCAGCUAUCUGUUUAGUUUUGAGCUUUUCUUUAAUGCACUUUUCAGUUAACAAGUCAACAUCAAUUUCUUUUGCUGUAAAAAAGCUUGAGGAAGGUGGCUUGAGAUUCGUCUUAAGUGUUUAUAGCCUCUUGCCUAUGCAGUCGGAGAGGAUUGAGGUCUGCAGCGUAGAUCCUUCGGGGCUAAAUGCAUUUGUGCUAAGUUAUAGCAUUUCAUAGACAACUUGAUUGACUAUGAUUUGUCUUGUAGCUUACUCGCUUAUGUUAUUUUACCUACGCUUAGGAUGUUGAUAUGCAUGACUGAUAU
Molecule: ribosomal RNA, 776 nt
Filed under: uncultured Neocallimastigales
Lineage: Eukaryota; Fungi; Neocallimastigomycota; Neocallimastigomycetes; Neocallimastigales
Description: partial large subunit ribosomal RNA
Rfam family: Eukaryotic large subunit ribosomal RNA
Source: RNAcentral